GAUGAACGCUGACAGAAUGCUUAACACAUGCAAGUCUUUGGCGAAUCUGUGCUUGCACAGGCUAGCCAAGGCGGACGGGUGAGUAACGCGUAAAGAACUUGCCCUGCAGACAGGGAUAACAGACGGAAACGACUGAUAACACCUGAUACAGUUGCCGGCACGCAUGUGCCUGGCAAUGAAAAGAGAUGCUGCAGGAGAGCUUUGCGUCCUAUUAGCUUGUUGGUGAGGUGACGGCUCACCAAGGCGAUGAUAGGUAGCCGGCCUGAGAGGGUGAACGGCCACAAGGGGACUGAGAUACGGCCCUUACUCCUACGGGAGGCAGCAGUGGGGAAUAUUGGACAAUGGGGGCAACCCUGAUCCAGCAAUUCUGUGUGCACGAAGAAGGUUUUCGGAUUGUAAAGUGCUUUCAGCAGGGAAGAAGAAAGUGACGGUACCUGCAGAAGAAGCGACGGCUAAAUACGUG
Molecule: ribosomal RNA, 463 nt
Filed under: uncultured bacterium
Lineage: Bacteria
Description: partial 16S ribosomal RNA
Rfam family: Bacterial small subunit ribosomal RNA
Source: RNAcentral